RNAcentral lists this ribosomal RNA (454 nucleotides) under uncultured bacterium. RNAcentral's name for it is "partial 16S ribosomal RNA". It matches the Rfam family "Bacterial small subunit ribosomal RNA", at positions 28 to 507 of the family's 1533-position model. The record is from RNAcentral.
GAUGAACGCUGACAGAAUGCUUAACACAUGCAAGUCCACUUGAACUUCGGUUUGGGUGGCGGACGGGUGAGUAACGCGUAAAGAACUUGCCUCACAGCUAGGGACAACAUUUGGAAACGAAUGCUAAUACCUGAAAUUAUGAUUAUAUGGCAUCGUAUAAUUAUGAAAGCUAUAUGCGCUGUGAGAGAGCUUUGCGUCCCAUUAGCUAGUUGGAGAGGUAACAGCUCACCAAGGCGAUGAUGGGUAGCCGGCCUGAGAGGGUGAUCGGCCACAAGGGGACUGAGACACGGCCCUUACUCCUACGGGAGGCAGCAGUGGGGAAUAUUGGACAAUGGACCGAGAGUCUGAUCCAGCAAUUCUGUGUGCACGAUGAAGUUUUUCGGAAUGUAAAGUGCUUUCAGUUGGGAAGAAAAAAAUGACGGUACCAACAGAAGAAGUGACGGCUAAAUACGUG